UUUCCGUAGGUGAACCUGCGGAAGGAUCAUUAACGAGUUUUGAAAUGGGUUGUUGCUGGCCUUCCGAGGCAUGUGCACGCCCUGCUCAUCCACUCUACACCUGUGCACUUACUGUAGGUUGGCGUGGGUUUCUAGCCUCCGGGCUGGAAGCAUUCUGCCGGCCUAUGUACACUACAAACUCUAAAGUAUCAGAAUGUAAACGCGUCUAACGCAUCUUAAUACAACUUUCAGCAACGGAUCUCUUGGCUCUC
RNAcentral lists this unclassified non-coding RNA (251 nucleotides) under root metagenome. RNAcentral's name for it is "partial contains small subunit ribosomal RNA, internal transcribed spacer 1, and 5.8S ribosomal RNA". The record is from RNAcentral.